AGAUCCCCCCAAACCACUGAUGGAUCUACUGGAUACCACCUUAAAAAGUCAUGAGCGAGGAUAUGUUUUGUCUACUUUAAAACCCAAAUCAUAUUAUAAAAACUUUAAACCAACUGGAAAAUGGCAUUGCUAUGACUAUGUCACAACCCCGACAAAUUAAUACAGCAUCAUAAAAAGCUCUUCAACUUGUCGGACAUAAAUUGGCCACAAAUUCAAAGAAAUGAAGAAGAGCCACUGUCUUAAUACUCUCUUGACCAAAUCUUUGCAUGUCCCAUAAUGCCGCUUGUUUGGGAUGGAAAGGUGUAAAAACUAAAGACUGAAAUAUAAAAUGACUGAAAAAAAAAAUUCCCUGUAACAGUGUGUGUUUUUUUAAAAAUAUACAUGCCAAAAUAACAGGAAUGUUGUAAAAAAAAAAAGGCAGAAAAAACAGAGAAGUUGAAGGAUUUCAAAAGGUGUCUAUGUGUAUAAGUUAUCUUAAAUUUCAUGAAUAUCAUGUUUAAAUUCCGUCCCUUUUUGAAUUUAUACCAGACAACUUAUUAUUUUAUAGUGAUCCUUUCAUUCUUCAGCACACACUGAGGUAAGAUUAGAUUAUUUAUACAGUUGCGCUACAAAGUUUACAGACGAUGGCAGAAUUUUUGCUUUUUUUAGCCAUUUUACAGAGAAAAUCAAUGACUAUUCCGUAUUUAAUAAAUAAAGCAUAUUGUGAUUGAUGCGCUUUCUAUUACAAAAGCGAAUCAAACAUUGACAUAGCUUGUACCAAAGUGCUCUAGCACCCCCUAGUGGGUGUUAACCAGUAAACCAUUACCCUGAGUGGCAAACUGUCAACUCCGUGAAACAGCAAAAAUUACAUUUACAUAACAGAACUCGAAUACCAACCUUGUUCCCUCAUCAGUCAGGUGCUAUGAGACCGUUUGCAGCUUAGAAUUGCACCUUAAAAUGAGCCUUUUAUCCGUUUUAACCGUGGAGUACAUUUUCUGUCUGUACCUCAGAGUUCCCGCUGCUGCUGCAGAGUUUUGCAGCAGUUACAACCGAUUUACGACACGCUGUCGUUCUGGAGACAAAUCGGGCUGUUUUCUGCCGUCUGUUUCAUCGCCGGUAAAGUGGUGGGCAGCGGGAUUUUCAUCGCACCUAAAGAAGUCCUGAUGAACAGCGGAAACAGCAUGGGGCUCUCCCUGCUGUUGUGGACGCUAUGUGGGGUCCUCUCCUUAUUUGGAGUUGUGUCAGGGCAUCAAGGCGUGAACACUGUACCAAACCAAGAUGCUGGUUCAUACUUAAUCUACUGCCCCCACCCCAAGUGAAAGAAAGCAGCUGAAAGACAGCUAGAAAAAAAUAUCAUGCAAAGUACAAUGGUUUUCUCUGAACCUCGUCUCUGAAGAAGUCAUCAGUCCAAACAGGCUCGACGAUAGGAGACGUCUGUCCGAGUCGAACCGGAACCAUCCGAUUUCCUCUGCCA
Long non-coding RNA from Thalassophryne amazonica, 1453 nucleotides. RefSeq lists it as uncharacterized. The record is from RefSeq and is a predicted model, not a curated record. The transcript is spliced from 4 exons. Lineage: Eukaryota; Metazoa; Chordata; Actinopteri; Batrachoidiformes; Batrachoididae.